UUGGAGGGCAAGUCUGGUGCCAGCAGCCGCGGUAAUUCCAGCUCCAAUAGCGUAUAUUAAAGUUGUUGCAGUUAAAAAGCUCGUAGUUGAACCUCGGGAUCAAUGGAUCGGUCAUGCCAUCGGUAUGUACUGGUCUCAUUGGUUCUCACCUUCUAAGGAACCAUGAUGUCAUUAAUUUGAUGUUGUGGGGAAUUAGGACUGUUACCUUGAAAAAAUUAGAGUGUUUAAAGCAGGCUAACGCUUGAAUACAUUAGCAUGGAAUAAUGAAAUAGGACAUCGCAUUCUAUUUUGUUGGUUUCUAGGAUCGAUGUAAUGAUUAAUAGGGAUAGUUGGGGGCAUUAGUAUUCAAUUGUCAGAGGUGAAAUUCUUGGAUUUAUUGAAGACUAACUACUGCGAAAGCAUUUGCCAAGGAUGUUUUCAUUAAUCAAGAACGAAAGUUAGGGGAUCGAAGACGAUCAGAUACCGUCGUAGUCUUAACCAUAAACUAUGCCGACUAGGGAUCGGAUGAUGUUAAUUUUUUAAUGACUCAUUCGGCGCCUUACGGGAAAC
This 549-nucleotide ribosomal RNA is filed under the name uncultured Glomus. RNAcentral's name for it is "SSU rRNA". It matches the Rfam family "Eukaryotic small subunit ribosomal RNA", at positions 548 to 1098 of the family's 1831-position model. Lineage: Eukaryota; Fungi; Glomeromycota; Glomeromycetes; Glomerales; Glomeraceae. The record is from RNAcentral.